AGUGGAAGCCGGCCAUGCGUGGUUGGUCAGAUCGGACGGUUGUCGUGUGUUGGUAUGCUACGGACGGCUCCGAUGUACUGCUCACUCUGUCCCGCCCCCUCUACUCCCCCCGCCCGAUCUCGCCGAGGCCGAUCUCACCAGUUGCGGAAUCACCGGCGGCCCUUGUCGAUCGAGGCGGCGCAGCCGGUGCUCGCAACUGGUGAGCUUUGCAGGCAGCGGUAGUAGCGUGGCAUACCUGGCGUCGGGCCAUGGUGCCGGCCGUCUCUGCCGCCCUACCCGCCGCAUUGAUCGAUCAACUCAGUAGUCCCGGUGGCGAGCUUCGCUGGCUUCGUAUUGACUUGUGCAGCUGUUACCUAAACUUGGCAGCAAGAUUGUCAGAGCUGCAAUUGCGACAAGCUUCAGGGGCAACCCGGUGAUCACAAGAUCCUUGAUGGUAAUGUGGCCAGUACUGAACCCAACGACAUUUGAUGGUGAUCCAGUAGGUAACAAGUAUGAAAGCUGAGCCCCAAUUGUUCCAGAAACCAUAAGCAACGCCGGGUGCACAUCUAUGGACUUCACCAAUUCAGCGAACAGAGGCAGCACAAGCGUGGUGGUUGAAUCGUCAGAUGUUAACUCUGUGAUGAUCCCACUGACAAUGCAGGCCACAGGAACAAUGACCACCGUCGGUGCGCCCUUCAGAAACCUGAGCCCAUCAGAGAGGAUGUCGGUCAGGCCGCUUGACUUGAAGCCAUCAGCAAUGGCGAAGCCUGCCCCGAGGAGGAGGAUGAUGUCCCACUGGAUCUUCCUGCACUUGUUCCAGUCCAUCAGUUUCUCACCCUCGUUCUGCCGGCUUGGGAUUAUGAACAGCAGUGUUGCCAUCAUGAUCUGUAUUGCAAGUGAAUUGCGAGAUUAGUUGGUGCAUGGCUGGAUAAGUUUGAUAUCUUUGCACACUUACAGUGACUGUUCCAUCUCCAACAUUGUUGUGGAAGAGAGCUCCCCACCCAGGUAUGUCAUCUGUAAGGCUCCUGGUCAUCCAUAGCACAAUUAGACCCUGCAAAAUUUAUCCAGUUGAUUGAGUUACCAAAUUGCAAGUUAUUAGUUUGCAUAUUGUACAACCGAAAGCUCCUCUGCAUGAUUAUCUUGAGAACGGAAUUUCAAUAACAGGAAUUGGGUAGAGCUCUCUUUUUUUGGAGGGGCAGGGGGGGGGGGGGGUAGGCAGAACACAUUUGCGCAGAAAUAGGAUUUACCCCAAACACAGCCAAGACCAUCUUCUCUGCAAACGCCAUUGGACCUGUCAUAGAUCAUGAUAGUAAUUUCAUGAGACAAUUAGUCCCUUGCAUUGCACUGGAUAAAUGAUUGCUUCUAGAACUUUGUAAAUUAAACUUGGCCCAAUCAGAGAGUCUAAAAUGCUAUGACCUUACAGCAAAUUGACCAAUUUUUUGUCGCAUUGUCUGAUUGGUGAAAGACAAAACGGUGUAAUGACGUGAUGUUCAACUGGCAAUACAAUUUUACAGUGGCAAACA
This is a long non-coding RNA of Phragmites australis (common reed), 1502 nucleotides long. RefSeq lists it as uncharacterized. The record is from RefSeq and is a predicted model, not a curated record. NCBI's taxonomy places the organism in Eukaryota, Viridiplantae, Streptophyta, Magnoliopsida, Poales, Poaceae. The transcript is spliced from 2 exons.